RNAcentral lists this ribosomal RNA (499 nucleotides) under uncultured Glomeromycotina. RNAcentral's name for it is "partial small subunit ribosomal RNA". It matches the Rfam family "Eukaryotic small subunit ribosomal RNA", at positions 591 to 1092 of the family's 1831-position model. Lineage: Eukaryota; Fungi; Glomeromycota. The record is from RNAcentral.
CCAGUAGCGUAUAUUAAAGUUGCUGCAGUUAAAAAGCUCGUAGUUGAAUUUCGGGACCAAUAUGUCGGUCGUGCUUCGGUACGUACUGGCAUCGUUGGUUUCUCCCUUCUGAAGAACCAUGAUGUCAUUUAUUUGGUGUCGUGGGGAAUCAGGACUGUUACUUUGAAAAAAUUAGAGUGUUUAAAGCAGGCUCACGCUUGAAUACAUUAGCAUGGAAUAAUGAAAUAGGACGUUUGAUUCUAUUUUGUUGGUUUCUAGGAUCGACGUAAUGAUUAAUAGGGAUAGUUGGGGGCAUUAGUAUUCAAUUGUCAGAGGUGAAAUUCUUGGAUUUAUUGAAGACUAACUACUGCGAAAGCAUUUGCCAAGGAUGUUUUCAUUAAUCAAGAACGAAAGUUAGGGGAUCGAAGACGAUCAGAUACCGUCGUAGUCUUAACCAUAAACUAUGCCGACUAGGGAUCGGAUGAUGUUAAUUUUUUAAUGACUCAUUCGGCGCCUUACG